Molecule: ribosomal RNA, 407 nt
Filed under: uncultured bacterium
Lineage: Bacteria
Description: partial 16S ribosomal RNA
Rfam family: Bacterial small subunit ribosomal RNA
Source: RNAcentral
AUUGAACGCUGGCGGCAGGCCUAACACAUGCAAGUCGUGCGGAGCGGCGGACGGGAGAGUAAUGUCUAGGAAUCUGCCUGGUAGUGGGGGAUCCCGUCCGGAAACGGGCGCAAAUACCGCAUACUAUCAGAUGAGCCUAGGUCGGGUAAGUUGGUUGGUGGUGUAAAGGCCUACCAAGGCGACGCUCCGUAACUGUACUGAGAGGAUGAUCAGUCACACUAGAAUUGAGACAUGGUCCAGACUCCAACGGGAAGCAGCAAUGGGGAAUAUUGAGCAAUGGGCGAAAGCCUGAUCCAUCCAUGCCGCGUGUGUGAAGAAGGUCUUCGGAUUGUAAAGCACGUUAAGUUGGGAGGCGUUACCAACAGAAUAAGCGCCGGCUAACGUCGUGCCAGCAGCCGCGGUAAUUC